This 276-nucleotide ribosomal RNA is filed under the name uncultured bacterium. RNAcentral describes it as "partial 16S ribosomal RNA". It matches the Rfam family "Bacterial small subunit ribosomal RNA", at positions 76 to 354 of the family's 1533-position model. The record is from RNAcentral.
CGUUUCUCCGCCGGCGACCGGCGCACGGGUGAGUAACACGUAUGCAACCUGCCCCUGUCAGGGGGACAACCCGCCGAAAGGCGGGCUAAACCCGCGUACAUGCCACCGGGCAUCCCGGAGGCAGGAAAGGCUUCGGCCGGACAGGGAUGGGCAUGCGGCGCAUUAGGCAGUAGGCGGGGUAACGGCCCACCUAACCGACGAUGCGUAGGGGUUCUGAGAGGAAGGUCCCCCACACUGGUACUGAGACACGGACCAGACUCCUACGGGAGGCAGCAG